Molecule: ribosomal RNA, 406 nt
Filed under: uncultured bacterium
Lineage: Bacteria
Description: partial 16S ribosomal RNA
Rfam family: Bacterial small subunit ribosomal RNA
Source: RNAcentral
AUUGACCGCUGGCGGCAGGCCUAACACAUGCAAGUCGCGCGAGCGGCUGAAGGGUGAGUACUGUCUGGGCAACUGCCUGAUGUAGGGGGAUAACUACUGGAAACGGUAGCUAAUACCGCAUACCAUCAGAUGUGCCCAGAUGGUAUUAGCUAGUAGGGGGGGUAACGGCUAACCUAGGCGACGAUCCCUAGCUGGUCUGAGAGGAUGACCAGCCACACUGGAACUGAGAAACGGUCCAGACUCCUACGGGAGGCAGCAGUGGGGAAUAUUGCACAAUGGGCGCAAGCCUGAUGCAGCCAUGCCGCGUGUGUGAAGAAGGCCUUCGGGUUGUAAAGCACUUUCAGCGGGGAGGCGUUACCCGCAGAAGAAGCACCGGCUAACUCCGUGCCAGCAGCCGCGGUAAUUC